GAUGAACGCUGGCGGCGUGCUUAACACAUGCAAGUCGAACGGAAAGGCCCAAGCUUGCUUGGGUACUCGAGUGGCGAACGGGUGAGUAACACGUGGGUGAUCUGCCCUGCACUUCGGGAUAAGCCUGGGAAACUGGGUCCAAUACCGGAUAGGACCACAUUUUGGAUGGUGUGGUGGAAAGUUUUUCGGUGUGGGAUGAGCUCGCGGCCUAUCAGCUUGUUGGUGGGGUAAUGGCCUACCAAGGCGUCGACGGGUAGCCGGCCUGAGAGGGUGUACGGCCACAUUGGGACUGAGAUACGGCCCAGACUCCUACGGGAGGCAGCAGUGGGGAAUAUUGCACAAUGGGCGCAAGCCUGAUGCAGCGACGCCGCGUGGGGGAUGACGGCCUUCGGGUUGUAAACUCCUUUCGCUAGGGACGAAGCGCAAGUGACGGUACCUGGAGAAGAAGCACCGGCUAACUACGUG
This 465-nucleotide ribosomal RNA is filed under the name uncultured bacterium. Its description in RNAcentral is "partial 16S ribosomal RNA". It matches the Rfam family "Bacterial small subunit ribosomal RNA", at positions 28 to 507 of the family's 1533-position model. The record is from RNAcentral.